Molecule: ribosomal RNA, 671 nt
Filed under: Habropoda depressa
Lineage: Eukaryota; Metazoa; Arthropoda; Insecta; Hymenoptera; Apidae
Description: eukaryotic LSU rRNA
Rfam family: Eukaryotic large subunit ribosomal RNA
Source: RNAcentral
AACCGUUCAGGGGUAAACUUGAGAAACCCAAAAGAUCGAAUGGGGAGAUUCAUCGUCGACGAGCUGGCUCCCGUAGGUGCGCGAUGCCCCUGGCGAAUCCUCGUGGUUCGUUUAGAGGGCACACCAUCUACGGCCUGUUUGACCGGUAUUCGUAGUCGUGCACUUCUCCCCUAGUAGAACGUCGCGACCCGUUGUGUGUCGGUCUAAGCCCGGGUGGGAGCCUGUCACGUCGUUUCGGCGCUCGUGAACAGACCCUCGGUAGCGUGGCCGGUUGCACGACGGUACUCGUACGGUAUCGGGCCGCAACCAGUACAUUUUCGAAUGUGUUUGCGUCAGGCCCGUCGCAAGCUCGAUCAGUUCUUACCCGGAGGCACGGAUACGAGCCGUCCCCGGGCCUGCUCAGCUGCUAGCAGACGGCGUCCUUCGACUGGCCAAUUACCGGUCAGCGACGCUAUUGCUUUGGGUACUUUCAGGACCCGUCUUGAAACACGGACCAAGGAGUCUAACAUGUGCGCGAGUCAUUGGGAUAGAUAAACCUAAAGGCGAAAUGAAAGUGAAAGUCGUCCUUUGCGUCGACCAAGGGAGGAUGGGUCGAUGAUAUGAGACCUCGCACUCCCGGGGCGUCUCGUUCUCUCUCUCAUCGAGAGAGAGAAGAGGCGCACCAAGAGCGU